CAGCGUACGCUGGGUCCCCCGCUUGGCUCGUCCGGGGGAGUUGCAGUGGGAGCGGGGCGCAGGACCCAGCACGGUUGGGAUUUCAUGGGGUGGGGGUGGUGCUGCAUUUCUUCCAUUGAGCGGGGGUACAGUUACUCUCCCACCCCGCCUCGAUAUACAUUGCAGUAUUGCUGCGUUGCAAGUAAAAAUCCGCGCCGCGUGGCCAAUUCUUGUCUAAUCUGUGUGACUGCAGCGCAGAGUCUCCGAAAGGGAGAGAAAUGCAGGCGGAGUUUUUCUCCCCUCCAUCAUAGCGAGCAGAGGCUGCGUUGGGAAUAUAAAAUUCCAGGCAGCUCCUCUGCUUCUGCAGGUAGCUUCCCUAUCCCGCUGUAGUCUGUCCCCCACCCGCCGUUAUUCACAGCAGAAAGCCCCGGGGCUUAGCAGAAUGCAGCCACAGCCUGUCUCGCCUACCCUGCAGCAGCCUUGUACUAGAAAAACAGCCGCUGGCAGUGCUACCCCUUCCGUUUGCCAGAGGCACGGAGAACACCGCCAGGCGGGGAGGAAGCAUUCAGGAGGCCUGGCUUUUGGGGAGAAUAAACGAUCCCUCUGUGCAGUCUGGAGCCACCCCUUGUCCUUUUUCGCCUCACUCUCUGGGAGGUUUAUAUCUGGUUUAGAUAGAACGGCUGUGAGGAAAGAGACCCAGAGGAAAGGAAAGCCUUCCCCAGCCCUGCCUGCCUUUUAGGGACUAUUGAUUUUGGUCACGUGCAGCCCUCUCCUAAGAGAGAUCGAUUGCAGGGCAGCAACCUAACCCUAGGUUUGUGCACAGCUCUGCAGCAUGAUUUGCUGGUAUGACUCCCCCGCCCUCAUAGACAGUUAGCAGGUUUAACAAGGAGGAUAAAGAGGAGCUGCAGGACUCCAAAUGCCUGGAAGCGGAGGAUUAGGGACAGUGCCACCUAGCUGGCCCCAAAUCUCAAAGAAAUCCCUUGUGUUAUCACCAAGGGGAGUCUGAAUUAAUGGCGGCAACAGCCCAGGAAGACAGCACAAUUAGUCUCUGCAAAGCUUGUCUGAGAGACUCUGCAGACAUCAAUGCUCACAUACACCUAUGAGCAAGACCCCCUUGGAAGGAGACUUACUCUGAAGCAAGAGGUGGUGGUGAACCUGGAAAGUAGAACUCUCCUGAACAGAGCCAGGGCUGUGUUUCUGAGUCCAUUACAUGUGGAUUAACACUCAGACCCGCCUACUUGGAAGCACCUACCUGCAGAAGGGGAUGGUCCCUAUGUAAGUCAAAGGCAAGGUUGCUCUCUCUACACUUUCGUAUCAACAAGAGCACGGGGAUGGUUGCCAGGAGUGCUCUUUACAGUGCGAAGAGGGCGUCCUCUGAGCGCUCCUGCUUCUUCCUGCCUGAAGGAUUCGUAGGAGGAGUGGGGGCCUCCAGCGGAGGAGAAGGGAAGAUGCUCCAGAUGGAUGCACUAUGGAACAUCAGCUACCAUGAGUUUGGUGGAUUGGAAGAGGAUCUCUGCUGGGUGAUUGUAUCAGAAGAGAGCAAGAUGGAUAUUCUACUCAAAAGCACUGGACUGAGACAGCUCUGAAAGCCAGAGGCUUCCCUGCUUACCUUCACUUGUCACGCCUUCUUCCAGUUCUUCUCCUUUCUGCAGUCGGGACAAAGAAACAAGUAUGAACAUAUGGACUUCACUUCGCUUUCAGUUUCACCCUAAGCAUGUUUACAAGUAACCCAAACCAUUCAUUGCCUCUGUCCCUUUAUUUAACCACAGUUACUACAGGAACAUGAUGACCUAGAUGAGUCACAUGGUGCUCAUGUCAGGAGGCAGAUGAACGACCCAGUACUUCUCUGUGUUGCAGAGCAAGAGAAAUAGUCCAAAUGAUGGUGCUAUUGAUUAUUGGUGACAUCCAUUAUCAGUGAACUCCCCAUUAGAUCUGAGUGACAGUCAGUUAAUCGCCAUCUUCUCCACUUCCAAGAGAGCAGGCCUCUUCUUAUCAAGAGAAGCCAUAACCUGAUACAAAACUGAAUAACUACAGGAGAUGCCACCUCACCUGUUUACAAUUCCUUUAGGACAUCAUGGCUGAGACUUUCGUUAAUAUUGCAUCAUAUUUAAAAGCUUAAAUCAAGUGAGGUAGACACCCCCCCCCAUGAAGUGUUUAGGGACAAUAUUUUUCCUGAAUAAAAUGGAUGGUUCAUUUUGGAUUUAGAAUUCAUGAUUGAGGGGGG
This is a long non-coding RNA of Gopherus flavomarginatus (Mexican gopher tortoise), 2203 nucleotides long. RefSeq lists it as uncharacterized. NCBI's taxonomy places the organism in Eukaryota, Metazoa, Chordata, Testudines, Testudinidae. The record is from RefSeq and is a predicted model, not a curated record. The transcript has 4 exons.